AUGCCUACGGGGGGCAGCAGUGGGGGAUAUUGCACAAUGGGGGAAACCCUGAUGCAGCGACGCCGCGUGGGCGAAGAAGUAUUUCGGUAUGUAAAGCCCUAUCAGCAGGGAAGAAGAAAUGACGGUACCUGAGUAAGAAGCACCGGCUAAAUACGUGCCAGCAGCCGCGGUAAUACGUAUGGUGCAAGCGUUAUCCGGAUUUACUGGGUGUAAAGGGAGCGUAGGCGGCUGUGUAAGCCAGAAGUGAAAGCCCGGGGCUCAACUCCGGGACUGCUUUUGGAACUACAUGGCUUGAUUGCAGGAGG
RNAcentral lists this ribosomal RNA (305 nucleotides) under uncultured bacterium. RNAcentral describes it as "bacterial SSU rRNA". It matches the Rfam family "Bacterial small subunit ribosomal RNA", at positions 335 to 655 of the family's 1533-position model. The record is from RNAcentral.